Diospyros lotus (date-plum) is the source of this 1063-nucleotide long non-coding RNA. RefSeq lists it as uncharacterized. The transcript is spliced from 2 exons. NCBI's taxonomy places the organism in Eukaryota, Viridiplantae, Streptophyta, Magnoliopsida, Ericales, Ebenaceae. The record is from RefSeq and is a predicted model, not a curated record.
UGUGUGACCAUAAGUGAAGCUCUCAUCAAUUUUAGACAGCAUCACAUCUAUGAAGUCUUCUUCCUCAUCUCCGGCGACCCUCCGGCGAUGCUCUUCGAUCCAUUUCUCGAACACCCAGUCCAACUCCGUUGCAAUUCGCUUAAAUUCCUUCAACUUUCCGAACAAAUCCACCCAUCUCAGCGGCGGAAACGGGAUCAAAUCUGACAGCACAAAAUCCCCAGUCAAAUACAUAAACUCCUUGAUCACUCUCCUCAUGUGGCUCGCCGCCUCUGAAUCUGUUUCUCCUGCGAAGUCGCCGUGGUAUCUCUUCCCGGCGAUCAUCCUAACGAUUAUGUUCAGAGUCAGUCGCUCGAGCCACUCACUCAUUACCACCUUCCCGGGGCAAUCCUUGUAGAGCUCUUUGACGCUAGUCUCCACCUCUGAAACCCUCACUCUCUUCAGCAUCUCAAGCCGGCUCGCCGAGAGCAGCUCGACGACAGUGAGCCGGCGCAUACGCCGCCACAAUGGGCCAUAGUUGCCGAAGCCGAUGGAGGCCGAGUUGUAGCCAAGGUACUCGGCGUGGCUGGAAUGGGGGCGGUUGGCGAAGAUUUUGUCGUUGGUGGUGAAGCAGUCCUUGAUGGCUUCCCAGCUGUUGACGACCAGCAUGCGGUGGACGCCGAGACGGAGGGUGAAGAUUGGGCCGUAUUUGUCGGCCAUGGAGGCGAGCGUCCGGGCGAGGGGGGUCCGGUCGCUGAGGAGGUGGAGGUGGCCGAUGACCGGCCAUGCGCCGGUCACUUCAGGCGGCGACUUGCCGUUGCCGUUGGUCUGAUGCUCUUUAUGAGGCCUUCUUGAUGAUAUCCAUAGAUUAAACAGCAAAAUUAGAGCUACAAAGCCAGGAAUCAGUAGUAAUUGAGAAAGGGAAUCCAUGUUUUACAGCAAGCAUUCAAGAUCCGAUUACUUCCGGCCUCUAAACCAUCUCAGACUCCAUUUAUUACUCUCUUCCAGUGUCAUGGGUCCAUCUCUUAUUUAUUAAUUAUAUAGCUUUGACUUUGUCAAAUGAAUGAAAGAUGCUUGGGUAAUAUCA